GAGACUCUGACAGUGGUGGUGGCAUCGGCGCCACUCGUAGUAGGAGGCCGCACGACAGCAGCGGUGCUCGCGAGAGGAGGAGGCCCCGGCGACAGUGGCGGCAUCAUCUCGCGGCCAGAAUUAGCGACGCUCAAUGCAGAGGGCUUAAGAAUCCAUUGUGGGUGCCCUACCGAAGAGCACAAGCUAGCUAACAAGGACUGA
This 201-nucleotide long non-coding RNA is filed under the name Oryza sativa Indica Group (long-grained rice). RNAcentral's name for it is "lncRNA OsMH63_08G006310". The record is from RNAcentral. Lineage: Eukaryota; Viridiplantae; Streptophyta; Magnoliopsida; Poales; Poaceae.